Rattus norvegicus (Norway rat) is the source of this 22262-nucleotide non-coding RNA. NCBI's taxonomy places the organism in Eukaryota, Metazoa, Chordata, Mammalia, Rodentia, Muridae. The record is from RefSeq and is a predicted model, not a curated record.
UUGGCUUUUAUCUGCUCUACACAGCUUACUUACUGGUCAGAAAGAAAGCGGGUGGGGCAGACUGAGAGAUGCCUUUCACUGGAGACCAUCUGAAGCUCAACAAUAGCCUAAUUUGCAUGGUGGCACACAGCGUUAAUCCCAGCACCCAAGAGGAAGAGACAACUGGAUCUCUUGAGUUCAAGGCCAGCCUGGUCUGCAGAAACCCCUACUGAGGGCAGUUCAUUUGAACUGUCAGCUUAUUCCUGAGCAAGUGAAAAGGAUCCAAGUCCCCAAACUGGCCCCAAUAAGGCUUGUGGUCCAAGGAGCAGAGUGAUGACACAGUGGACUAACGAUGAUGACCACCUUUGCAGCCGCCAGAUAAUAACCGAGGGAAUAAUUACAGGAAGAAACGCAUGUGGAAACUUCCAGAAUGGACACUGCAGGCAAAAGUUCACUCGUUCCCAUGUCAGAGGCAGUGCAAUGGGCAGAAGUGAUAAAAAGGCGGAAGGUGAAAGAUGUCUCGAGGAAAGAUCAAAACUGACAAUGAAGGAGAGGUACGAGGAAUUUUGUGCACUGUCCCUGGGAUUAGAGGUGGGUACGGUCUCAGAGCGAAGAGUAUAGGGUUCAUCCAAAAUUUAAAGUACUGCCCCUAAACAUCCAUCAUCCAUUUCUGGGUGUACAGAGAGGAAAAAAGAUGGAAACAGUGUGUCACAGAGAUAUCACAAAACCCACAAUACACACUUAUCUUAAGCGUCCAUCCUGAGGUGGAAAUACACAGUAUGCCUACCUCACAGAAAACUACUCAGGUUUUAAAGAGGAAAUCAUUUGUUGUAAGAGAUAUGGAUCUGAGAUAGGCUAUGGUUAGUGUUAUACUGCACGGUGUCACACGCAUGUGGACUCUAAAAUAAACAAAACGAAACCCUGAACUUAUAGGAAGAGAGUGUGAGGGGUUGGUUACAGAGGCCAGGAAAUGGGGUUGGGGUUAAAAGGUCUUACGGGGUUGGGGAGGAGCUGGAGAGAUGGCUCAGUGGUUAAGAGCACUGACUGUUCUUCCAGAGGUUCUGAGUUCAAUUCCCAGCAACCACAAGGUGGCUCACAACCAUCUGUAAUGGGAUCCGAAGCCCUCUUCUGGUGUCUGGUGUCUGAAGACAGAUACAGUGUACUCAAAUAAAUUUAAAAAAAAUAUUUAAAAAAUCUAAGAUAAAACCUUAUGGGGAAUAAGUUCAUGAAAUUUACAGCACAGAUUGCUGCCUAUAACAAGGAACAAUGCACAGAACACUUGAAAAUGGCUGACAAGGUGAUUUUAGAUUUCCUCAUCACAAAAGCAGUAUCUAGAUAAUGUGAUAGACACAUUAAUGAACUCAGUGGAAUGUUUACACAGUUUAGACUCCUGUUAAAACUAUCGUUGCCCAUCUUAAACACAGACAACUUCUCAUUUGCAGCCUGAAAAAAUACAGUUAAGAACAAAUUACGUGCCUGAUCUUUGAAUCAACACAACCAAACCAAACAUGUGUCUGUAAUCCUAGCACUUGGAAAGUGGAGGCGGGGAUGGGGGAUGUGGUGGGGAUCAGGAGUUCACUGUACAGUACUCACAGCCAGUCUGGGUGACAUGAGACCCAGUCUCAGAAACAAUAAAUACAGCGAGGGAGAUGGAUCAACCAGCAAAGCUAGCCUCACAAAGCUGAGGGCUUAAAUUUGAUUCCUAGAAUCCACAUUUAAAAAAAAAAAUCCAGGCGUGGUGGUGCAUUCCUGUAAUCACAGCAUUGGGAAGAUGGAUUCCUAGAGCUUACUGGCCACCCAGCCUACUGUAUUUGCUGGGCUCCAGACCAGGGAAGAAUCCUGUCUUCAAAUAAAAUGUGGAUGAUGCUUAAGGAAGGAUACCUAAGGUUGUUCUCAGGUCUCCACAUAUGUUUCCUUCAUGUCCACAUACAUGGACCUGCACAUACAUGAACAUGCAUACAUUUACAUACACAUACAUAGAUAUACACAUACAUACACACACACCCCACACCUCAGAAAUCAAUAGGUAAACACAUAAACUCCAAAAUAUAAAUCCUCAGGUGUGCCUCAGAUCCUUAUUAACAAAUGCAUUGAAGGCUGGAGAGAUGGCUCAGCGGUUAAGGGCACUGACUGCUCUUCCAGAGGUCCUGAGUUCAAUUCCCAGCAACCACAUGGUGGCUCACAACCAUAUGUAAUGGGAUCUGAUGCCCUCUUCCAAUGGGUCUGAAGAUAACAACCACAUACUCAUUAAGUAAAUCUUUUUAAAAAAAAUAAUCUACAUGGAUGACAAGACAUAAAACUGAGACUUCAUUAGACAAUAUAAGCAAACAUUCUGUGGUCUAAUACUGAAUGUGUGUUGUAGAGGUUGAAAUUUUGGCUUCGAUGAGGAAAAUACGCGAUACUGAAAAAGCUCUGGGGCAGUGCAGAAAUAACCCACUCUCACAUUUCCGAACAGAAGUUUCAAGCUUCAAAGGAGCUUAGGAAAUGUUUGUGGAGAAGAACACAAAGCACAUCACACUAUUUUGCUUAAUAAAGACUGAUGCAGCAGAGGAAAAUUUCCAGGCGUGCUGAUGUCACAGUUGGCCACGGGGGGCUGUGAGUUCUAGGCUGAGUUUGAUGUUCCCGACAGGAGGCAAAGGGCUAAGUACCCAGAGGGAAAGAGGCUACACAAGUGCCCUCACUCUGUGUUCUAGGAACAGGCCCUUCUUUCACAGUGUAUGUUAUUUGACAGGCCUUCCGUUUAUUUUUAACGUCAUUGGCCCUGUUCUCUUGGGUUUGCUCCAGAAUGCUUGUCUGUGUGGGAGAUUUAUAGCUGGUGAGGGCCAUCUCCUUAAAGGUCUGCCUGCAGUGGAAUGAACCUAUUAGGUUCAAAGGAAAGGCUUAACCAAAUAGAGAAGACGUUUUCUAAGUCUACUAUGCCAAAGUGAAGGACACACAGGAUCUAAUUCUCUGCAUGAAUGAGUACUCUCAUAUUCUCACUCCAAGACAAGGAACCAGGACCUGAGAACCUGAGUUCAGACGGUUACACCCUUGGCAAAUGGCAGAGAUCACUAGUUUCCUGAAGCUAGUCUGGGACCUAGAGUUUGUCAGGCAGAGUGUGUUCAUUGGUCCUUGUCAAAGGAGCAGCAAACAUAGACUGUGGAGAAGGGUUGAAAAGUUUCAUAUUCCUUGGGUUAACUCAUCUUUUCCCUGAGCUUAUGCCUGUGUGUGUGUGUGUGUGUGUGUGUGUGUGUGUGUGUGUGUGUGUGUAUGUGUGUGUGUGUGUGUGUGUGUUUGAGAGAGACAGACAGAGAGACAGAGACAGAGAGAGAUUCUCAUGUCUUUAAAAAUUAAACUGACGGGCUGUGGGCUGGAGAGAUGACUCAGUGGUUAAAAGCACUGACUGCUCUUCCAGAGAUCCUGAGUUCAAUUCCCAGACAUCUGUAAUGAGAUCUAAUGCAACUGACUAUACAUUUUAGUCAGAAUUGCUUUGUUAAUAUCAUUUCCAUGGCAAAAUAAGCAGUCAGAGACUAGUUCUGGUCUCUCUGAUGCUUUUUGACAUUGUAAUGAACCUUGAAAUCCUAAAACAUGGAGAUGUGCUGUGUAGCUAAAUUUGAACCUAGGCUUAAAAAACAAGCAAGCAAGCAAGAACCCCCCAGUGUUGUUUUGACCGUAUUGUUUCCUGGUUCCUCAUAUAAAUUUGGACUAUCAUAAGCCCCUCAGAAGUAAAUACCAGAGUCUCUAGAAUAAUGCUUCCCAAUGGAAACGAUUGCAGUCGUGGAAAUAGGUCUCUGUGUGAAUGUGCCACACACAAACAGAACACAAGGCAAACAGACACCAUGGGCUUUGGUAAUCAUACUGAAUUCUGAAAUCCUGCAAGUACCAAGCAGGAAGGAGCUGUGCGUGCAGUCUUGCUCUUCCUGGCUCAAACACAGACUGAGAGGGACUUGACCUACAUGACCCCCUGCGCUUGCACUUGCCUCUUGCGUUUGCAGGGGGUCAACAUGUUAUUCUUCUGUUCUACUUUUUAGUCUCUGCUUCGAAGGAGGGGUUGUCUCGAUGCCUGAUGUGUGCUUAGUCCAGUCCUUUGCAGUGUAUUUGGAGACAAAACCUCCAUUUUGACCCAAGGUUGGGAAAAUCCCGGAAGUCUCCGGGUGACUAAGGGAAAGCUGAUACGGGGUCUGAGAGACAAUGCAGUAGGGGAUACAGAUCAAUGAAAAAGCCUCUUCACUAAACCCAGACGAAAGCAUUCGAUACCCCAGAACUCUGCAAGCAAAGUUGAGCGUCUGUUCCCUUGACUUGGAUUUUCAGGAGCAAAAUUAUACUUGCAACAAGGCCUUUGUUCCCUCGGCAUCGAGUAUCUAAAUGUUUCCUACUGCAGGGAGCUGAACGGUUCAGUGGCACUCCCUAGCAAAGCCUACCUUCAGGAACACAUCACACAACCACGGAUAUACCUGAAGCUGUCUCUCCUUAUAUGGCACAGAGAAUAGUAUGGUGAGAGACUGAGAAAGGUAUGCAAAGAAGCCAGGACUGACAAGCAAAAUACAUAUUUCAAGUGACUGAUAUGUAACAGAGCAGGUAUUUAUCAAUAUCCGCCGCCUCUCCUCCUUUCCUGUCUAGGAUUUUAAAAAAAAUAAAAACGAAAGUGAAAAAAAUUUUUUUCGUCUUGUUUUCAUGGAUCUGCGUUGCCUUCAGAAUGACACCCUGAAUAGCGUAGCUGCUGUUUAUACUGUUCAGCAAAUAAUAGAGUAAGUGUCCUCCAAGUGUAUCAGCCAGUUUUAUGUUCCCUCCCUCAGAGAGUGCUAAGAAGUGCAGCACGCUAGGUGGCUUCUAGAAAAACCAACUCCUCUCCUUCUCCAAGCCUGCCACCAUUUAGCUCUUUCUGACCACCCGCCACCAAAAAGUAACGUUUCAGAAAGUUUCCAUUUCUUGAUGCACUGAAGCAGGAUUUUCACCUCUGACCUCUUCAGCACCUAGAGGAGAAGGAGUAGGGCUUAGAGAACAAAGGGAGGCCAGCAGCUUGUUCAAACCAAAGGUUCUUUGCAAGUUGAAGGGGGUGGGAAAAACCCAUUGUUUUGGCUCUGGUUCUUCUCUGUGGGGCCAAGUUAAUGAAAGCACCAUCUAGACUAAUGGGUUGGCUUUUUUCCCUUGAAGAUGGUGUUUAUAUUUUCCCAUCUUUAGUUAGCCGGUAAUUCGCAUAUUGCUCUCAGAGAUCCUGUUUUUUUUUUCUUUUUUCUUUCUUUUUUUUUUUUUUUAAAGCGGAUGCUGAUAAAUGAGCCAGCUCUUCCUUAACCAAGACAAACCUAGCUUGCUUUCUAGCAGGAAUCUGAUGGCUUAUGGGGGGGGGGGUGGGUGUCAGAUAAUCAUUCUCAUUAGUAAACAGAUUUUACUCCACAUUUUAAAAACAAGUCGGUGCUACAUUUCAUAAACAGUGAGGUAGUAGUGUUAUUAUUCGAUCAAGUGUUUAAUUUUUUUUCAAAGAUGUGCUCAAUGCCCAGUGCCACGCGGCUUUUAUCUUAUUUUCACUUACAAAGUUAAUUCAUUACCACAUUGUUUCCUUUACCUGUCUGUAACCUAGGGAGUCUUCCGUGACUGUUCUUCUCGGUUAUCAUUUUUCCACCAUUAAAAUAGUGUGCAUAUGAAGAUCCAGAAGAGAAAAGAGAGUUGGCUCGGCGGAUAUGACCAUUUUCUGUGCAAGAAUGAGGGCCUACAUUUGGAUCCCAGCACUCACAUCUAUAUAAAGCUAGGUACAGGUAGUUGCCUGCCUGUAAACUAAGUCUAGCUUCUGAUGCAGUGAGAGACACUGUCUAAGGCAAUACUGUAGGGUGAUGGAGUAGGACCAGAUGCAGCCUGGUCUCUGCCCAUGCACAUAGAGUCUAUACAUAUAUGUGCCCAUACCUUACACUCACUUGCAUGCUCACACAUUCAUACAAACCUACAAAAUGAAGAAAACUGCGCUCUGAAUUGGGCGCUACAUUGCUGUAAUCGCAGCACUGGGGAGGCUGAGGCAGGAUGACGGCUGUAAAUUCAAGGCCAGCCUGCGUUACACACAUCAAUCGAUCAAUAGAUUAAAAAAAAUAAAGAAAUUUGUAUGUUAAAGGCUUAGACAAAUUCUCCUGGGUGUGGGUUAGAAAUGCACAGAAAUAAGACAUUCGUAAGACAGUUUGUCAAAAUGCACCUUUCUCUCUGAUUUAAGACAAAUAUUUCUCUUCUUAUAACUUCUAAGAUUUUGGGAAAUGUCUUCACUUUGUUAUUGAAAACUGGGAUAGACAGAAGCAUUCAAUACCCCGGAAUGCCUUAAACAGUUUGUCAAUUUGAAAACUUGCAGCACAAUGUAAUAAAACCAGCCAUCAUGACAGCAUCUCACUGUACUAACCCUUCUCCCUGACUUUUAUUCUGACCAUAUUAAAGGCAAUUAAAACAUUAGGUUUGUAAUUAAAGUAAAAAUAUAAAAUAUAUGUUAGAUAAUGUAUUAAAUUGCUUCGUUUGGAGACUAAAAGGUCAAGCUUAGUUUGCAUUUUGCCAUUACUCACUUUUGUGAGGUUGUAAUAAAAUAGCUCAGUUAUUGAAUAAAGUAGAAAAAAAAAAGACUGACAAGACAGAAAGAAAGGAAAAAGCUAGCCUGGCAGUCAAUGUCUUUUGCAUAUUUUGCCAUUGGGUUUCUUGAAAUUGUAAACAUCUAUGUCAAUCUGCACUAACGUUGUAUAGUAACAACAAUACCAGUGGUCAGCUACAGAAGCAGAAAGGGCCACCUAGAUAGACUGUAACCAUGAUUGUGUGACUUUGGAUGAUAAUAAGGGAUCUGGGAAACCCAGGGUCCUCACAGAUUCAGGAACAGGGCACAUUUUCUAGUCCCCAGUUUGUGCACUAGUCCCGAGAGGGUGGCACUGAACCUGUUGUGUCUGCUCCCCUCCCCCUAGUAAGUUGCUCCUCACAUGGUUGGUCUUACUUCAGUCUUCAUGAUAUAAAUAAAGUAAAUAUAUUUACACAGAGCUUUUUAAACUUAGUUCAUGGUGCUUCUGAUGUCUCAAUUUUAUUUACAAUACUCCCUUUGUCCAAAGAAAUCACCAGUAGUUCCAAUUACUAAGAGUUAGGUCCAAACAAUUUCAUAAGGUUUCCCCCUAACAACUCAGUAUCCAAUAGCACUGUACAACUUCCUGUUGUGAAAAGAGAUUGGCAACUGCCUCUUGGGUUUCCCAUUGCAUGGGGACUUUUAUUUAGCAAUUGCUUUUUAUCCAUCAACCACUGAAAACUCAUUUUUGUAAAGACAUGAGGACUUGAAGGGCUGCUAUGAUCUAAAGAUGAAAGCAGAAAAAAUAUAAAGCUAUACGUGUUACAGGUGACUGACAAAUAUUUGUUUUCCUUGAGAAGUUAAAGCAUUCCUCCCACCUGUGUGAUUUCCCUCUGGGUAUCACUGCCCGGGUCCCAUUAAUCUAACACCCUCACUGUGAGGGAAUUGGGGAAGGGUUGUUAGGCUUUGAUAACUUCCUACUUAAGUUGAUGGAAGAUGGCUCUGAAUAUCAGAUGACUUUAAAACAUUUAUGAAUAUAUGUGAUGCUAAUCUGAUGUCAAGUUCACUAUAUGUGCAAUUAACUAAAAACCCAAGCAGCUCAGCCCACUCGAGGAAUUUUCUUGAUUGAACCAUUUGAGGUGGAAACAAACACUCUAAAUCUGAAGCAUGUGUGAGGGUUUUUUGGGUUUGUUUGUUUGUUUUCUGGGUAUUUUUUUGUUUUUGUUUUUUUGUUUUUUACAUUCUAGUUGGAGUGUUCAUCAAACCUGCUAUUGAGACAUUCAUUUAUUCACUUGGAUUAGGAACUAUUACUUCUGGAUUCUAGCACAGACUUCUGAAGACUAGCAGCUCUCUAGGAUUUCCCAGGGACAAUGGAAUCAGAUUGGGACUCCAGAGACAUCCAGUUCCCUGAACUGAACAACUACCAGAUGCUUGGCUUUUCUAUUCUGAGAUAGCCAUUGCUGGACUAUCCGGACCACAGCCUGUACGCCCCUCUCAUACAUUUCAGAUAUACUUUCCUUGUAUCUGCUCUGUUCCUUUCGAGAAGCUGGACUAUACAGUGUAUUAAAAUCUAAAAUGUAGCUACAAGAGGUUACACUGCUUCCUGUAGUUCACUGGGGAGUAGAAUUUUUCCAGUGAACCAAGUCUGCUUUUGUUUUGCUUUUCUUUCUGAGAUAUUUCAGACAGAGUCCAAGGAAGAAUUACUUAUCCCAGAGUAAAAACAUGAAUAAAUGCCCUGAAAUGGCUUACUAUUGAACUCCACGGAUACCUCCAAUCUCUGGGAUUACAGGAAUGUACUGCUACCCCACCCACCUUUUACAGGGGUGCUGGGAUUCCAACUAAGGUGCUUAUGGUCACAUGAUAAGCAUAUUAGCAAUUAAGUCACCUUUGUGGCAUUUGGGUUUAAUAAACUCAGCGGAACUUUCUAGAAACAUCUACCUUCUAUAAGUGAAUGUUUGUAGAUUCUGAACUUCUUCAUACUACAGAAAUGCUCACAUUUUCUAAGUCCGGUGCAUGGGUGUUUUACUGUUUUUAUGCACCACAAGAUUUGUCAUGGUUUAUUUUUCACCAAAUUUUAAUAGUACUUCAUAGCCAGUUCACUAGUCAAAUGAGUUUUGUCUAUCUGCUCACAAAUAUUGUCCACAAUGGUAUAAUUAAAGUGAUGUUCUUUACAGAUGAUCAAAACUUUUAUUUGUAUCUUUAAAAGAUGAACAUUUUUAUACUCUGGGUCUCUUAUUCACAAAUAGCAUAUUAAUAUCUCCAUUUAAAGAAAUGAAGGAUGAAAUGAGACGCAAAUACAAAGAUACUCAGAAAAGUAAAGUGUAUUAUGCACACAUGAUGUCUCUUAUGACCAUCACUGUGGACUUUUUCCUUUCUGUACCCCUGCUACUUAUUAAUUGUUAUUUAUGAAUGAUAAGACAGUGGCAUCUUGCUAGGAAGGGAUGAUUUCUUUCUUCUCAUUUCGUAAUUAAUUAAACAAUUAUACCCAAACUUACAGAUAAUUUGGUUUUUCUAAAACAUUUCAUUCAAAGACUUAUAAACUCUUGACACUAAGGGAUUUUAUCUGUUGCAAUGCUAGGUAAGAACAACAUAUACAGACUCAUCAAGUGAGCCAAGUAGAUUUUAAUAAGAUCAUUCUCUGUAAAACACACAGUUGUGUAGUAGAGCUAUGGACACUGAACAUUGCUGGGAACUAGUUAAAGGAACCUGAUGAGGCUUACACACAUGGGCACAUAAGCCAUCAAAUAAAGGGAGAGCAGAGUUAUGUAUGUGUGGAAGAUAAAUGCUGUAUUAAAUUAAACAUGAAGUCAUAAUUACUUUGUUUAUCUUGUUUCUCAGCAAGUGUGAAAGGAAUGCCUCAUUUCUCCUAGGAAAAUAUACUGAGGAACUCAGAAAGCUGAGUGUGUCAAGGCAUUAUUUUUCAACAAUAUACAGAGUUGCAUCAUGGUCAGAUUCAAUUUGUCAUUCCUACAUGAGUCCUCCCAGUAGAUAAAGGAACUCUGGAAUUGGUACAGGGUAAAAUGAGGUCAUUCUUGUAUAGGGCUUUGGAAAUAAAGGCCUUUUUAGAAUGUGAAAUAUCACCAGCUUUUCAUAAAAUGGAGGUGCAUAUUUAGCCUUUUCCAACUUGAAUAGAAGGUAUGGGACACAUGGUCUAUGCAUUAACAUAACAAAAUUGUAUUUCUAGAAUUUUAAUGAGCAGAGCAUUAACCAUUAAAGUACUUAUCCACUUACCCACUACAAGUUCUCUGACCUUUCUUUCUAAUAUGUUUUAAUUGCUCAAUACUUUCUUUCAUUCAUUAAACAAAAUUUAGUUGUUUUCAUUUCCAAUCCCUUGCUCUCUUACUUUCUUCUCAACAAGUCUUCCUCAUACUUCAAUGUCUAUUUUUGUGUGGUUCACUGAGUUUCAUUAGCAUUUCUUGCCUGUUAAUUGACCAUAGUUCCUUAGGAAUGGUUAGGGCCUCAUGGGCCCCUUCCCCGUACAUGGUGAAAUUCUGGCAGGCCAAAUCUUCUAUAGGUCUUCUGUAGACAAUCACAGCUACAGAGAGUCCAUGAUUGCAAUGGCCGUGUCUAGAAGUCUUUUUUACCACACACCUCUCUGUCCUUUGGCUCUUAGAUUCUUUCCUCCCCUCUUCCUCAAUGUUCUGUGGUCCUUGGGAGAGGUGUUUGUCUAUUUUGUUGUUCCACUUUUAAUGAAGUUGUACUAGAAAGUUGUUUUUUUUUUUUCCGCUAACCAUAGGGAUUCUUGGACUGAGUACUCCUUUAUCAAUCCCUCUAGUGUGUUGUUCUCUUGCUUGAUCAGCAUGUUGACCUUCCCCACUGUAUGAGUCUCGCAUAUAUUAUGCUAGGUAGGCACUCUACCACUGGGGGCUACAUCUUCAGUCCUAUUCCUACUUUUCCCUUUGAGGUAGGGUCUCAUUGUGUGAAUUCAACAACAUUUUGCUUCAACCUCUGAGUAGCUGAAAUUACAGGAGUUUAUCACCAGGCUUGGGUAUGCAGUGGCUUUGUCCUUUCACCUUGUCUCAAGCUGCCUACCCAACUCUCACUGGUGACAAUGGCUCUUGUUUGAUGGAAAAGUAGACAUCAUUAGCCAAUAAUUAUCUAAACCCUUUCUUUCCUUCAUCUCCAUCUUUAUAUUUCUUCUUUUAUGGGUUUCUCCUUUGUCUUCUCUUAAGAAUACAAUCCCAGGGGCUUGAGGGAUGGAUCAGUGGUUAAGAGCACUGACUGCUUUUCCAGAGGUCCUGAGUUCAGUUCUCAGCAACCACAGGGUGGCUCACAACCAUCUGUAAUGGGAUCUGAUGCCCUCUUCUGGUGUGUCUGAAGAGAGUGACAGUGUACUCACAUAACAUAAAAUACAUAAAUAAAUCUUUAAAAAGAAAUAAAAAUCCCAGCCUCUGUCAUUUUUCCAGACACUGUUUCUUGAGCACUAUUGUAGCUGUACAUUUAUCUGUAAUCAUCAUUUUUCCUGAAUUUUAGUCUCUAGCUUCUGGGCCUUCACUCAGCUUGUGUUAUUAAUUCCUUCCUCUUAAAUUUUUUCCUCCUUAGUCAGCUUUAACUCUCUCACUCCUCCUUUUCCUUGAUUUUCUAAAAAUAUGCAUUUACUGCCUUAGAGAACCACUUUCAACUCACUCCCCAACCUAUUGGGGUUCUAAUUCCAUUGCCUGACUAAGAUGCUUCACUCAAAUGGCAUCUAAACACCUUGUAAUUACAGAAGGUAAUUGGUUCUUCUAAUCUCUUCUAGUCCUCUAGACCAUUAUUUCUAAUCUUUGUCCUUCUUUUGUCAAUGAAUCACAAGCUUUCUCCAUCUUGUUCUAUUAAAGCUGAAUUUACUAUUGAGUAUCUAUCUCUUAUUCCUCAUGUUAAUACUGACAUCUGUUUACUCAUCAUUGUCAAAAAUUGCACUCCUUUUGUUUCUCUUUCUCUACCAGCUACAUACACAUGUGUGCACGCACACACACACACACACACACACACACACACACACACACACACACACACACUCUCCAUGGUUCUAUAGGCCUUGCGCCUCUUUGCUGCGUUUCAAUACUUGAUCUACAUCUUCAUCCCGUGUGGCCAAGUGUGUUUCUACAAUGAUAUUUUAUGUGGAUCCCCUUUCUAUUGUUUCUUCAUUGUAUGAUCAUUCCAAAAUAGAAAAAUAAUAAUCAAACUAUAAUAAAAGUGAAACAUCGAAAAAUCCAAAGCACUUCAGUAGCUCUCCGCUCCCAUGGACUUUAUUGAAUCUUUCUCCUCUAUCCUACCUGCUUCUUACAUCAUGCCUUUAAUGUACCAGUGUCUCCAUAUUUUACAAACCUGUUCCCUGAACCCAUUACUUUCUUCUCAUUUCCUUUGGGCAGGGAACUUUCCUUGGGCCCGUUUGUGCUUGUGUAGUGCCUUGUAAAACCUCAAGGUGGUACUCACAUUUUAUUACAAAUAGCUUAAUAGCAGUCCUUCCUUCCCCUUAAAUCCAGAGCUCAAGAACUGUUCUAGGAGUUCUAGAAAUAUUCUCAUUGUGUCUGAAUAAAUAAAUAAACAUCCUAUGGACCUAUAGAAGAUAACACAAAAAGACACUCUGGCAAUGGGAAGUUAUUUAGGAAGAAGAGUAGUCAUUAGUAACACAACUGAUGAGAGAAGGGGGAACUGAGAACUAAAGGUUACAAACUAGGCAAAGUCUAUUCUUAUUUCUAGAUGCCCAUUUGAGGCUGUUGCUUGGUCUACUGCCUGGGUGAACUUUUAGGGUACCAAGAAUAACACUGAACCCACAAAGGGUCCUAUAAGAUGAACUGUAAGUAGGUUCUGUGAGGGCAUUGCAAGAAGAUGAGAGUAGCAGGAUGAAUGUUUAGAUCUAGAGGAGAGAGAAGGCUAAUUGUGUCCAUUGCCAAAUAUGACAGUGCACAUAUUAAGUAAGAAUAGGGACCUGUGCACAAGUUUCCUCAACACAAAACUAUUACAAAUGUAUAAUAAGCAUACAAACUGAAUGUUCUGGGGAAAUGAGUGAUAAUCCCUGUAUCAUUUCAAGGCCAUUAUUUUGAAUUCAUUUCUAAUCUACUCCACAUCUUAAGUGAAUUGGAGUAUAUUGCACCUAGUGAUUUAUAUUUGGAACCUGGUUCCAUUUGUACAAAAUCCCCAAAAGAUCUUGUCAGUUUCAUGUCUGUUCAUAUCAACUGAGAUAUAGUCAAUACACUGUCUAUCUUCCUGUCAUAGGGAUCUUCAACCUAAGUUUAAGGCUUUUAAAAAUAUUAGAAAAAUGUCUGAGUAUCUAAAGCUUGAGUCUCCCAUAAAUAUAAGCUGAUGUCUUAAGGGUAAUUUUCCAUUAAAUGUUAAAUUCUACUUUUCCCAAACAAUAUACUUUCUGAGAAAAUGUUAUUCCCUUUAAUCAAGGUGACAGUGCAUUCCAGUUAAAUCUAUUAUUUCUCUUCAGCUUGGAUGAUUUUAUUCACUUUCUGCAUCAAAGGAGGAGGAUGUGGCUGGAUGAAAUCAUCAUUAUGACAUCAUCCCCUACAGAGAUGAAUCUGCUUAGGUUUAUGUAGGUACUUCUGCUCAUGCUUAUACUCACAUAUCACUGGCAAUCGAGGAGUUCCUGGACAUAGACUUUGGAGAGAGGUCAUAAUCGCUGUCUGAUCGAUACAGGAAGGACUCCCGGCGUUGACUGUGCACAAAGUUUGCUUGGAGAAUUAGCCCAGACCCUGGGCUGGUCAUGGGAUCCAAGGGACUCCGUCCCGCUGAUGUGCCAUUGUCCACAUCGAAACUGUGAAUAGAGGGAGAGAGUUAAUUUGGUGGGAGCUCUGGCAUGUUGAUAUCUCAGCAGAGCAGUUAGCCCAAGUUUAACGAUGAACUAGAAAUGUAGUGGUAGCAUGUUUGUGUAGUACAACAAACACCCUGAGUCUGAGCCCUAACACCACAAACAAACACACACACAAACAAACCCAUAACUGUAAACAAAAUGUUGGGUUAACAUUCGUAUUUUCCUAAACUUUUGAUGAUUUACAAAGCAUAAGUCUUUCUAAAGCUAACUUCAUUUAAAAAACUAAGUCAUUAUGCAAAGUAGCUCUGAGCACAAAAUUCCUAUUUAGAAAAGAACAAAAUUUAUAGUAAUUCAGUAAAUAUUAGAGUUUGGUUGAACAACUACGACUGUCUGAUGUCACGGUCCACUUGAACAUGGGCUUCUUUUCCUUCUCACACUAUACCUAUUCAAUCAUUACUUUCUCCAUUCUUUGCUGUGAGCACAUAAUGGCCUUUAAUUUCUUGAAUCCAUUUUCCAGACUUUACCUAGCAUAAAUAUCUAGAUAAAGAUCUUAGAAUGCAAGAAAUACUGAAUACAACAUUCAUCAGUCACAACCCUUCAUUAACUCACUUUGCUCCAGAAUGAAACAAAAACUCUUGGCUGGACUGAAGGUCUUGAUCAUCUCUCAGCUGCAAGCAACCACCUUCUCAUCCCAAGGUACACUUGUAUCAUCAGGCAGUUUACAGUCGACUUCCAUUGACUUACCACCCCUCUCUGGCUAUUGCUUCCUGGGUGCUCUUUUGUGUACUCACCUCUCCUAUGCUAAGACUAUUGACAUUCAUUCCUCAGGACUUAGCUUUUGUCUAAAAAGUUUUGCCAGAAACCUCAGAGCCUUGUGAAGUAUCCUUCAUGCUACCAAAGACACUCCCCUGUUAGUUUCUUACGGUCAAGACGGACAGUUAGUUGAAAACAUUUACUACAUGGUGUAAAUGUCUUCCUGUGUAGAUUUUGAACUCUCACAAAAUGGACUUUGAGGUAUUUGAGUACUUCAUGUAUUCUUUCAAAAACUUUUAUUGGAUGGGUCAAGAACCCAUGUCAUAGACUCAAAUAGAGAACCUAUUACUAUUCUGAUGCUAAGUGAAUAAAGCAUUAAUCCCUAAUGAUGUAAAAUUAUACCAAUAGAUUAAUGCAUCUCUCAUCCUUCAUCUUAGGGUCUUCUAUUUGCAAUAGAUGGUGAAUGACCCUGAGACGAGCUACUGGCCCUGGGGCUAGACAAUAUGAGACUCCAGAACUCCUAACUCUAAGUGGAACAUAUGUCCUGUAUCCCUCUUCUAAAAGCUCAAGAACCACUGUAGAAGAGAAUAGGACGAAAGACUUUAAAAACCAGCAGCAGUAGAUAACUACAACAAAAUAUCUUGUGGACACAACAGGGUAGCUUCAAUAUGAAUUCACAGAUGUUGUGACAGCAUGCACAAUACUUGUACAAAUAUAAGACAGACCAAAUCCCUGAAUGGAGUGGGGAAUGGACAGUCUCCCUCUUAGUUGAGGAAGAGUAUGAGCGGUUAGCUGUUGGGAAAGGGAGGGUCAGUUGUCUCAAGAAGUAUAGCCCCUGAUAAACAUGCAAUGCUUUAGUGGGAGGCCACAUUAUUCAAAAGUAUUUGGGUAGAACAUACUGACCAGGAUGCAGGGAGAUGUAAAAUUGGGUGAGAAAGAAACAAGGGAUGCAUAUGAGAAAAGUUGGAGGAGAGAGGGUGAAUAUGACCAAAACAUGUUCUACCAAAUUGUAAAAGGACAUAUCUUGUAUGUAUAUAUGUACCUGUAUGUGUAUAAGUCUCUAUCCUUUACUGGGGCUAGAAGCAUAGAUCAAUGGUAGAGUCAAAUGGCUGACACACAUUAGUCCCUGUUUUCAACCUCCAACACAACACAGAAAAACAAACUCCUGUAUUAAGUAAGGUAAAUAAACAUUGAAGAAAUGAAAUGCAUUGAGUUCGGAACAGAUUUUUAAAGUUGGUAGAUAAAAAAUAGCCAUAUACACAGCUUUCAGUGGAAUUGUCAUUAUAACCCAGAUAGACUUUCUCAAACAAAACAAAACAAAACAAAAACAAAAAACCCUUUUCUAGUGAGACAUCAAUCAGCAUCAAAUUCAAUUCUCAUCUGUUCUUGAGAGAAGAGAGUGACAUCCUGGGAUAGGCCAGGGGGUAUGUGGCUAAAGGGAAUUACUAAAUGCACAAAUGAAUUUAAAUUAAAUGAUUACCGACAUGUCCCCAUUAGAAUCUUUCUCCAGAACUGAACAUGUAGCUCAGUUGUACAGUGCUGCCCUACAUACACAAUGCCCUGGGGUUAAUUUUCAGCCUGCCUAUGUGUGUGUGUGCAACCACCCCUUUAAACAAACAAACAAACACACACACACACACACACACACACACACACAAUUUGUGGCCCACUAGUUUAAAACAUUUUUAAAUUUUUCUUUUCUAGAUUUAUUUAUACUUAGUGUCAUGUCCCAAGUGUUCCAAGUAAGCCAAGUAAUGGGGGAAUCAUUAAAUCAUUGAUCACUAUUCAUCGACGACCAAGCAACACCCGAAUCAAACCUUCAGGCAGGGGUAAGACAGUGUUUCAACUAUAGUAAAGAGUGGUAUCGGAGAAUUUAGGGUGGCUCUUUUUGGGUGUUAUUCAUUUCUUAAACACUUAAUACGAGUAUACUGUGAUUAAAAACUGUAAAAGCAAUAGUAUUAAUUCAGGCUGGCAUACCUGUGAUGCUUCAUAGAGGAGUAGUGACUAAAGUGAGCUUUUAACACUACUCAAUAUGCGUUUGAAAGACCCUAUUCAGAAGAGUAGGGAGGGAUGGGAAUAUAUUUCCCUUUAAGGAGACAGUCACAGAGGAUCUAAGGAUGGAAAUUCUCUACAAAGCAUCUGUGCUUGCUUCCUCUUAUUAUUUAGCAGGAUGGUGUUAGUGUUAAAUGAACAGAAGGAAGCUUCUCUCUCCAUAUUCUUCAUGUACAAUAAAGGAGAUAGAAGAGUAUGGUUUGGGGUUUACUUUCUUUCAGUUUAAUAGAUUAAUGGAAGCUCAAUCACCCAAAACACCCCAUUAAUUAAAUGUUUUUAAAAUACAAUAUUUUUAAAUUCCAUUAAGAAAAAUAUUAGCUUACAGAGACAUCCUACUGUAGAUUAUUUUGAAAAACUAAUACUAGAUACCUUAAAAUUUUUGAUAAUAAUAUUAUCAUAAAAAAUCAAAACAUUUACUAACUGGAUAAAUUAUGUCUGUUCAGAGAUCUAACUAGGGUCUUGGCUGUCUGUGGAUGUAAUAUAACACUUUGUCCACUAGAUGGAGAGAAUGUUCUUAAAUAUGGAGACUGCAUUCUAAAGUAAUGGGAAAGGCUAUGUUACCUAUUAAAGACUCACGAAAACCUCUUAAAUAUUAUCUAAAAUAACGCCUCUAAAUCUCUUAAACUGCUUAUAAACAUUUGCUAAUAUUUCAUCUAUCUAAGAAACAGUUAAAUUAGCUUUACUUUGAAAUUACUUCAUUUCUUUCUUUUUCCAAGAAUGAUCAGACUGGCCUAUCACUUAGAGGUUCAAAUGACGCUAUACACCAUGCUUGCUUGCUUGGCUAAGAGUCUGCCUGGGGUACUGAAAGGAAACCGGACUCUCUUUAAAAAGCAGGCUCCUGGCAUACCUUUUAGGGGAGCGCAGGAAAACAACACACAAAAAGGUCCCUCAACAGACGACCUCUUCAAUUUAGUAUUUAACAUUUCAAAGGAUUCUGUCUUCUCAAAAGUCAGGAAGAUUUUUAAGCCAUUGUCUUCAUUAAACUUCAGAGCAAAAAACCUUGGGUUGUGUUUCAAUGCACUUUUUUUUUUUUAAAUCCUAAAUUUGUUUUGAGAUUAGAGACACAAAAGACAGCCCCGGGGGGUGGGGGGUGGGGGGUAAACUGUGUGUUCCGUUUUCCUUUCCCCCAGAAGAGUUACAGUUCAAGCUUGUUUGGUGGAAUUGUCCUUUACCCAUCAGUAGAUUUUUAUUUUUUUAAGAAGAUGAAAUCUGCAGUAAUGGAAGAACUUGACAGCUACAGAUCAACUUCCCGUGCCACAGCUCGGUUCUAUAAAACAUAGAGACAGCAGCUCACCAGAUCAUGGUUCAUUAUUUUAACGUUGGGCUGUGCGAGGUCAUCACAGCAAUCCAUCCGCCCCAUACAUCCACCCACCCCAACGUCAAAAUAAUUAUAAACUGUGGUUGCUCAAAGGCACAGGAAUGAGAACAAGGGCAAGAAGAAGCUCUCCUUGAUGGGCCAGGGUGGGCUGGUACCCGGGUGGGGGGACUCCCCAUUCUUAGAGAAGAAAGGGAGAGGAGAUGGGGGGACAGUCUGUAUGAGAGGGUCUGUGAUUGGGAUACAAUCAAUCAAUCAAUCAAUAAAUAAAUAAAUAAAAGAAUUUGCCUUGGGACCAGGCUGAGGAGGAGGACCUGAUGUUCUAUUGGACCUUUACUUUAAAAUUACUCAGGAAGUCAUCACUGACCCUUCAACGUACAUCACUCAAUGUCUGUUAUACUGAACAAAGCACCAUUGAUAUCAGCAAUAUCCUGGGAAAACCUUUGAAAUUUGGGAAUGCAAGUUUUCUCAGAAUAGUUUGAUUUGGGAGGUGGGCAUUUGGUCAGAUGUGACAUGAGCAUGCUAGCCUUCUAUUAUAGUAAGUGCUUCUUUAAUCAAAAUUCAUUAUCAGGGAAAAGCAAUAUUACUGAAAAUACCUAGUUCAAAGUAUUACCAAAUAUCAGCAGUGGUGAAUAACGCUAUAGAAAGCUUUUACAUAAUGAAGAAUUUAGUGAAUGAGCUUGUGUAGUUCACUAAUUGUUCUUAGAUUAAUACUGGGGCGGCGGGAUACAAAUAUAGGAAGCAAGGCAGUAACAUCUAUAAAGAAACAAAGGCCAAAUAUAUAGCACCAGUUCUAAAUAGCCUCCAAGUAGAAAAGCACAGUGCUAUAUGAAUUGAGGAAUCGGAUAUGUCAAGAGAAAACAUAUAUAAAGGAAACUUAAUGCAUGGAAGGGGUAAAGGAUCCAGUCAGAACGGAGGAUGCGCAGUCAAAGUGAAGGAACAUAAGCAAGCUUGGGAUAGGGUGGUGGUGAGUAGUCAAACUGGACUGCAUUUGUAGGAUGGUGCUAAAGAGCAGUAGGGACAUUCAAAAGUGGCGACACUGUACUGUACAGGUAGGCUGGGAUGUGAAUAGGAACUGCGCCAAGGCGUGUCAGCAUCAGCUCACAAUAGAGAGAUGUGUGGAAAGACACAUGGCUAUUUAACAGCCAAUGCCUAGGUCUGACAUGUGGGAGACUGUUUACGUUCAUGUGGCUUGAUCUGUGAAAACAAACGUGUUGUUUCUGCGAUUAUGGGGAGAGUAGAAUAGCCACGAAGUAGAAAAUAAAUCAAGAACCAAAAGAUGAGGGAGGAACCCCUCCCAAAUAAAACCUCAACUAAACCCUUCAAGUAUGAGAAGGAGGGUCGCACCCUCAGAGAGAUCUUGUUGGGUAGAGAUAACAAAAGCCAGUACUUGUCUCACGCUGUAGGCUACAAAUCAAGUGAGUGUGAGACUACUUAUUAUUGGCUUAACUUUCUGAAAAUCAGCUUUAUUUAAACUGAGAGCUAGUUUAUGCUGCAAACAGAGAUGGCUUGGAAUGAGCUGCCUGGCGGGGAGGUGGGGGUGGGGAGCAGUUUUAACUCAGUUGUUGCCAUCAAAGAGACAAGGAAAAGUGAGAUUCCUAAGGAUCAGAGGAUCCUCUUGGGAUUAAGGGAGUGUUUGGAAGUCUGUAAAAGGUCUUAGCUCAUGGGAAACAAUGGCAUGCUAUAAUAGCCCAUGUAUUUUCCCCCUGAAUGCAGUGCAGGCAUUUACACAUUGUAUAGGAUCUGGCCUAUAGCAAUAGAUGGUUGCAGGAAGGUGAUGUUACUGCUAUAUUAGUCCCCUGGGGGGCUGGGGGUGGGUGGGAUAAAAGUCAAGAUCUGUUGGCAUGAUGCAUUCAGAGCCCUCGAAGGUUGUGUGUGGAUGGCAAUUUUUUCCUAUGGAGCCUUGUUUCCUCAAGAGACAGACAGAAAUUAGACAAACCGGCCAACCAACAGAACUGCUCCCAGAUUUUCCCUUUUUUUUUCAUUUUAGUGCAAUCAAUGGAUAGUAAUGGAGUCUCUAUCUACCUCCAAUCCAGCUGCCUCGCUGUCCCCAUACUUCCUUUCCACUAACCUUAUAACUGGUUUGCUAAGGUUUGUUUCUCACCAUUUUUUCCUGGUGUUCUGGGGGGAAUAUUUUGAUUCUCGAUUACCAUGUGGAUCUCUCCCGAGUCUGCUUCCUUCCGAGUAAAUUCUUCGUUUCGUUUCCUCUAGCUCUUAAGAUCAUAUACUCAACACUGACUUCAGGGUCGUGAGGUGGGGCACAGUAAGGGCUACAGUGGCUAGUCUCCUAAGAGUCCUUGUCAACGUGAGUUCCCUGGACUAAGCAUUCUGCGAGGAGGCUUCCUGGGAAAGACCCAGCUGAAUGCUCAGGGAACCCUAGGAACCUUAAUUAAAGCCAGGAAGAAGCAGCUGUCUGCUGCUUCUGAAGCCGUGUGCUGAGAACGAUGGUGUGUUCAGAACACAGGCAUUUUGGUUCACGUUAUAAGGUGAAGGGAUUCUAAGAGGGUUUAAGGUAGAAAACCAGAGUUAAAUUUUGAGCCUUGGUUCUGUCCCUUAUUAGUCAGAUAGUCUUGGCUAAAUCAUUUACCUGCUUAAGGUCCCACUUCCUGAUAGAGAACGACAGGCAGUUGUGAGGCCAUUAUGAGGAUUAGAAGCGAAUAUGGUUAGAAAGCAUUUAUCUCAUUGCCUGGCAGCUAGUAUAUGCCCAGUAUAGUCAGCGGCCAAUGUUUUAGUUUUGUUAAUCUUUAUCUUCCACUAAGAUCAUCCACCAAGAUCAUUGUCUCUCUGUGAGUCACUCUGUGUGUCUAAACACAACACUUCGAGCAGAAGCUAAAUGGAGACACAAGGGAAGAAGAGACAUAUGGGACAGAGCAGGGGAGUGUGCCCUGGCCUCAGUGAGGUGCCAGAUGCUGGCCCCGUUUGCUCUUACAGCUCCAGCUGCUUUGAGGGCAUCUACCCUCCUCCAUAAAACUGGGGUAACAUGCUGGCAGAGGGUAGACUCGCCAAGGAGAAAGAACAAUUCCCUGGUAGGAAAUAUGGAAGGCAUAGAAGUCCCAACAACUACUGCAGGCUGUAGCUGAAUAUAGUGGGUAGAAGCAACUUGUCAGUCUUUCAUCUCCGGAUGUAAGGUGUGCUUAGAGGCAGUUACGUUGUUAUGGUGGUUUCUUUUUGUUUGUUCUUUUGGGGGGUGUUUGCUUGCUGCCCCAAGGGUACAGCAUCCCUCACUGUUGGCUAUCCAAUGGGCACACAUGGUGUCUAGACACUGGGGAGGAGAAGGAGGCUGAUUCUCAUGCAUAAGAUGUCUGGAUGAUGAUCAAGAGUUCUUCAUAUCAAAUAUUUCAUUCAUUCUUAUCAGGACCAUAUGGUUAUAAAAUGUGUUUCUUAAGAACCCUAGUGAUAUGGGACCACUUGACUUUUUUCUGAGAGCCAGAUACCUCCUCUGCAAUAACAAACACUUCAUGAAAUUAACUAUUUUGAUAUUUUUUUUACAGACUCUAUAGAAGACUACAGUUUAUAGUGCUAUGCACAUAUGAUGCCUUCUCAAGCAGAAACUGAACAUCAAAUGUCAGCAAGGAUACUCAGGAUAUUUUACCUUACUAGAUUAAAUGAACAAGGAAGGAACUAAGACAAGCAGUCAGCAAGGGCCUGGGACCUGAUCUUCAGAGCUUCACUGCAAAUGGGGAUCCACAGCCAGAAAGGAGGUGGGAAGGAAUGAUAUGGCCCAAAUGCAACAGCAGCGCUCUCCCUGAAGGUAGAUGCAGAAUAUGCUACAGCAUGUCCAUAUCUGGCGGACAGAGGGACCUGAGGAUUCUCAGUUCGCUGGUUCGAGAACAAGCUAGAGAGGUGACUUUCUCAGCGCUAAUGUGGAAUGUUACUGACAUGAGCUUACUGUUUAAAUUGCUUGGGUUUGGGGUUUGUUAACACAGCGAUAUCCAGCACAGUAUGUUAUAGCAAGGUAAACUUGCUGACUAAAGACACGUUUUACUUUCAAACAUCUCAAGUCUUCUAGGACCCUGUGGAACCAACCAUCUCUUUCCUUGUUUUGCCUCUUAUGUUUUCUUCUCUCUCUCUCUUUUUUUAAAAGUUCAUUACUAACACCUACUUCCAUUAAGGAAUUUCUCACCAUCUAAGAAAUGUAUAAGGGGUGUGAGAAAAUAAGCUGGCUAACAUUUCAUGGAAUGAUGUUCUAUAGAAUGAACGCGAGUCCAGUUCUGCACUGCCUUGAAGGUGAUAGGGAAAGGGACAGAGCAGCUGCUCCAGGCACAGAGCUAAAGCUUGGGCUCAACUCUGGAUCACAGAUGGGACACAGCCCCAGGAGUCACUAACACUUAGGAUCUGUCUUCCUGCUGCACUUGAGCUAUGGGGUCCCAAAGCAGCAGAUCAGAGGCUACCCUGGAAUGUGAUUCUAGAAAAUGAUAGUAUUCUGCAUGCGCAUGAUUCUCUGUGUAAAUCCAAGGAAGGAUUUAGAGCUAGGAGGACUUCUUACUUCAUCCCAAUUUAAGACACUACCCACUUUGCUAUCUAGCUCCUUUACAAGGAAGCAGAAUUGACUUGAGGUCUUCAAAGUGGGGGUGCUAGAGGCUGCAUCUGAUGCUGUAGGUCCUUCCUUGUCUGAACUGACAGCUAGCCUGGGAGUAGGAAACAAGACUUGACCAGCUGUGGUGCCAGUGUGUUUCAGCUCCUAGCCACCAUGACACCGCUUUACUCUUCUGAGAUGACUGAGUCCAUGGAGCUCUGUUCACAAAUCCCCCCUACCUGCCAGGGCCUUAGACAAGAUAAGAGCAUUACUGCUUUCUGACUAGCAAUGAUGGCUCCUUUAAUCAUGCCCAACAGAGAUGUAAUGUUCACUCCUGACCCUUAGGGCUUUGACUUCUACUAUGUGUUCAAUGAAAAUCAUGCUAGGCUUAUCUUUCUAUCAAUUAAAAGUCCUCUCA